Molecule: ribosomal RNA, 878 nt
Filed under: uncultured fungus
Lineage: Eukaryota; Fungi
Description: LSU rRNA
Rfam family: Eukaryotic large subunit ribosomal RNA
Source: RNAcentral
GAGAAGACUACAGGAUUCCCCUAGUAACGGCGAGCGAAGCGGGAAGAGUUCAAAUUUAAAAUCUGAAAGGCUUUGCCUCUCCGAAUUGUAAUUUAAAGAGACGUUAUCUGGUUCCAGUCCGAUGCUCAAGUCCCUUGGAAUAGGGCGUCACAGAGGGUGAGAACCCCGUCUGGGCAUUGGUGCUGGAGCCUCCAUGAGGCGUCCUCUACGAGUCGAGUUGUUUGGGAAUGCAGCUCAAAAUGGGUGGUAAAUUUCAUCUAAGACUAAAUACUGGCAAGAGACCGAUAGCGAACAAGUACCGUGAGGGAAAGAUGAAAAGCACCUUGAAAAGGGAGUUAAAUAGUGCGUGAAAUUGUUAAAAGGGAAACGAUUGAGAUCAGUAUUACUGCGGUCCCUUUAUGGGUAAGCAGUGAGUCAGCAUCAGUUUGGGCUUCCGGAGAGAGGCUAGGGGAAGAUGGAGUCGUCCUUCGGGGCAACUUUUUAUAGACCCUAGCUGGCACGCGGAGCCUGGACUGAGGUGUGCGGCCGUAGUACUCACUAGCCGAGCCUGUUCCCCAGGGGUCAAGACUACAUGUAGGCUUGAACCGCAAGGAGCAGAGGUAAGCAAGUGCAUACGGUUCGAGGAUGCUGACGAAAUGGUCUUAAACGACCCGUCUUGAAACACGGACCAAGGAGUCUAACACAUGUGCGAGUAUUUGGGUGGCAAACCCGAGUGCGUAAUGAAAGUGAUCUGGGUGAGAGCCUUGCCUCCUGGCUUGGUGCAUCAUCGGCCGAACCUUGACGUCUUCAGAUAGGUUUGAGUAAGAGCAUAUUUGUUGGGACCCGAAAGGUAGUGAACUAUGCCUGGAUAGGAUGAAGCCAGAGGAAACUCUGGUGGA